Molecule: non-coding RNA, 75 nt
Organism: Rhamnusium bicolor
Lineage: Eukaryota; Metazoa; Arthropoda; Insecta; Coleoptera; Cerambycidae
Source: the annotation of a GenBank genome assembly
GGCCUCGUGGUCGAGCGGUAAGGAAACUUGCCUCUCGUCCUGGAGUUCCGGGUUCGAUCCCCGGUCGAGGAGCUA